Molecule: non-coding RNA, 340 nt
Filed under: uncultured fungus
Lineage: Eukaryota; Fungi
Also listed under: 1 other name
Source: RNAcentral
AGAGUUAAAUAGUACGUGAAAUUGCUAAAAGGGAAACGAUUGAAACCAGUGUUGUGUCCAGGAAAUCAGCCGCCACUAUGUGACGGUGCACUUUUCUGGACGCAGGUCAACAUCAGUUUGGGAUCAUGGAAAAACUGUCGGGAAGGUAGCUGGAGCAAUCCAGUGUUAUAGCCCGAUGGCAUGCAUGGUCGCGGACUGAGGCCGGCAGCGUUUUUUGGGAUCGGCGGUAUUCUCUGGGUGUCGCGGUGCAGGCUGCUUGCAGGCUGCAUUGUUACACUCGGUCUAUGCUGCUUCGUCCACACCAGCGCUUAGGAUGUUGACGAAAUGGUUUUAAACGACC